GUGGGGAAUCUUGCGCAAUGGGCGAAAGCCUGACGCAGCCAUGCCGCGUGAAUGAUGAAGGUCUUAGGAUUGUAAAAUUCUUUCACCGGGGACGAUAAUGACGGUACCCGGAGAAGAAGCCCCGGCUAACUUCGUGCCAGCAGCCGCGGUAAUACGAAGGGGGCUAGCGUUGCUCGGAAUUACUGGGCGUAAAGGGCGCGUAGGCGGAUCGUUAAGUCAGGGGUGAAAUCCCGGGGCUCAACCUCGGAAUUGCCCUUGAUACUGGCGAUCUUGAGUAUGAGAGAGGUAUGUGGAACUCCGAGUGUAGAGGUGAAAUUCGUAGAUAUUCGGAAGAACACCAGUGGCGAAGGCGACAUACUGGCUCAUUACUGACGCUGAGGCGCGAAAGCGUGGGGAGCAAACAGGAUUAGAUACCCUGGUAGUCC
This 425-nucleotide ribosomal RNA is filed under the name uncultured bacterium. Its description in RNAcentral is "partial 16S ribosomal RNA". It matches the Rfam family "Bacterial small subunit ribosomal RNA", at positions 354 to 796 of the family's 1533-position model. The record is from RNAcentral.